AUACGGAGGGUGCAAGCGUUACUCGGAAUCACUGGGCGUAAAGCGCGCGCAGGCGGCUUGAUAAGUUGGAUGUGAAAGCCUACGGCUCAACCGUAGAACUGCAUCCAAAACUGUCAGGCUAGAGUGUGAGAGAGGAAGAUGGAAUUAGUUGUGUAGGGGUAAAAUCCGUAGAGAUAACUAGGAAUACCAAAAGCGAAGGCAAUCUUCUGGAACACUACUGACGCUGAGGCGCGAAGGCGUGGGGAGCAAACAGUAUUAGAAACCCGAGUAGUCC
This 274-nucleotide ribosomal RNA is filed under the name uncultured bacterium. RNAcentral describes it as "partial 16S ribosomal RNA". It matches the Rfam family "Bacterial small subunit ribosomal RNA", at positions 523 to 796 of the family's 1533-position model. The record is from RNAcentral.